AUGUCGAUGAGCUACAGAUCUCUCUCCCACAAGAGCUUCCUCCUUCCCAAACACCAAGCCCAAGCGAUGGGCUCCCGCCGUCAUCCUAGUCCUCCUACGACCCUAGUCUUCCUGGUGUUGCUGCUAUGCCUCUUCUGUGCGCCGCGCUGGGCCUUCUCGCUCUCCUUCAACCUCAACUUCUCCGACCCCAUGGCCUUUUCAUCGAUCGUCAUCGCCGGCGAUGCAUCCAUCAGCCCACCAACGCUCGAGCUGACAAAAAGUGAACGGAAUACAAAUAUUCAGGACAGCUUCGGCCGGGCGUCGUACGCGCACAAGGUGCCUCUAUGGAGCAACGCCACCGGCGAGGUGGCUUGCUUCACCACCACCUUCUCCUUCCUAAUCACUCCAGACAAGGCCAGCCUGCCGAAUACAGGCGAUGGGAUGGCCUUCUUCCUCGCGCAUUUCCCAUCGGUGAUCUCGCCCCUGAGCAACGGCGGUGGCCUCGGCCUCCUCCCGAGAGCCGCCAACGACGGUGGCCUCCCCAACAACACUGACGCGACAGGGGACAGCCGAAUCGUGGCCGUCGAGUUCGACACUUACGACAACUCGGCUUAUCGCGACAUCAAUGGGAACCAUGUCGGCAUCGACGUAAACUCCCUCAUCUCCGCCGCGUCAACGGACACAACGACCUCGCCGGGCGAGAACCUCACGUCCCUCCAUGUCAUGAAAGCCACGGUGAAGUACCACAACGAGUCCAAGAUGCUGGCAGUUCAUCUCGUUAUUGGUGAUGCCUUGUACCAGGUUAAUGCAACCAUUGAUUUGAGGAAAUGUUUACCAGAAGAGGUCGCGGUCGGCUUCUCAGGGGCGACUGGCACGGUCGCUGAGCUGCACCAGAUACUGUCAUGGUCAUUUAGCUCCACUCUCCAGGUUGAAUCAAAGAAGGAAGCACAUCCACCUGCUGAACCUCCUCUUCCAAUUCCAACCACUAGCCGCAACGUCCACAAAAAGUUGGUACCCAUCCUAGCAUCUGUCCUAGUUCCUCUCCUUUUUUUGUUGGUCUGUGCGACCGCAGUGCUGGGAUGGCGUCGACACAAGAAAAGAAGAGCAAACGAGGACAGCGAAGAAGAGUGUGACGACAGAGCUGAACUCGAGAGAGGUGUGGUUGCGGGCGGCCCCAGAAGGUACAUCUACCACGAGCUGGUCGCAGCAACGAGCAACUUUGCGGAAGACGAGAAGCUCGGGCGAGGCGGCUUCGGGUGCGUUUACCGGGGUCACCUCACACUCACACCUGCCGUCGGUGGUGCCCAAGACCGCCGUGCGGUGGCGGUGAAGGUACUGUCAGCGGAGUCGUCAGCGCAGGGGAGGAAGGAGUUCGAGGCAGAGGUGAGGAUCAUCAGCAGAUUGAAGCAUCGCAACCUUGUGCAGCUGUUGGGUUGGUGCGACAGCCGCAAGGGGCUCCUGCUUGUCUACGAGCUUGUUGCGGAGGGCAGCCUAGACAGGCACCUCUACAGCAACGACGACAGCUAUCUUACAUGGCCACAGAGGUACAACAUCAUCCUCGGCUUGGGAUCUGCGCUGCGCUACCUCCACAGAGAGUGGGAGCAGUGCAUCGUGCACGGUGACAUCAAGCCCAGCAACAUCAUGCUCGACUCGUCGCUCAACACCAAGCUUGGGGACUUUGGGUUGGCUCGGCUCGUCGACCACGGCACCGGGUCAAUGCAGACCACGAAGGCCGUGCUUGGCACCGUCGGCUACAUCGACCCAGAGUUCGUCAACACGCACCGGCCCAGCAAAGAGUCGGACGUGUACAGCUUCGGCAUCGUCCUCCUAGAGAUUGCCUCCGGCCGGCGGCCGGUGAUCGAGACCGCGGAGAGGUCCUUCACACUGCUCAGCUGGGUGUGGGGUCUCUACGGGAGGGACGCGAUCCUUGACGCGGCUGACGAACGGCUGAGGGGCGACGAGGCGGACGAGCGGUGGAUGGAGCGGGUGCUGGUCGUCGGGCUCUGGUGCGCGCAGCCGGACCAGAGCGAGCGGCCGUCUGUGGCGCAGGCCAUGCAUGUCCUGCAGUCCGACGAGGCGAGGCUGCCGGCGCUGCCGCUGCACAUGUACAGAGGUGCACCGAAUCUUGCGUCGUCCGUCCCGUACGGGUCUUUCUCCGUGGACAGCUCCGGCUCCGGUUGCGUUCGCUCUUCUUCCGUCAGCACUGGCAACACCACUGUUUCUUCCGAGUCAUCCUCAACCGCGCUGCUACGUCAUUCCAAGGAUCAAGCUACGUAG
Molecule: ribosomal RNA, 2256 nt
Filed under: Triticum aestivum (bread wheat)
Lineage: Eukaryota; Viridiplantae; Streptophyta; Magnoliopsida; Poales; Poaceae
Description: partial small subunit ribosomal RNA
Source: RNAcentral